GCACUCUUAGCUCAGUUGGUAGAGCAACUGACUCUUAAUCAGUGGGUCCAGAGUUCGAGCCUCUGAGAGUGUA
This 73-nucleotide transfer RNA is filed under the name Prevotellaceae bacterium. RNAcentral describes it as "tRNA-Lys". It matches the Rfam family "tRNA". From Rfam's summary of the family: Transfer RNA (tRNA) molecules are approximately 80 nucleotides in length. RNAcentral also lists the same sequence under 2 other names. Lineage: Bacteria; Pseudomonadati; Bacteroidota; Bacteroidia; Bacteroidales; Prevotellaceae. The record is from RNAcentral.